Molecule: ribosomal RNA, 592 nt
Filed under: Bacillus sp. CH416c_13T
Lineage: Bacteria; Bacillati; Bacillota; Bacilli; Caryophanales; Bacillaceae
Description: bacterial SSU rRNA
Rfam family: Bacterial small subunit ribosomal RNA
Source: RNAcentral
CAGUCGAGCGGACCUUUUAAAGCUUGCGUUUUGAAAGGUCAGCGGCGGACGGGUGAGUAACACGUGGGCAACCUGCCUGUAAGACUGGGAUAACUUCGGGAAACCGGAGCUAAUACCGGAUAAUAUAAGGAACCUCCUGGUUCUUUAUUGAAAGAUGGUUUCGGCUAUCACUUACAGAUGGGCCCGCGGCGCAUUAGCUAGUUGGUGAGGUAACGGCUCACCAAGGCGACGAUGCGUAGCCGACCUGAGAGGGUGAUCGGCCACACUGGGACUGAGACACGGCCCAGACUCCUACGGGAGGCAGCAGUAGGGAAUCUUCCACAAUGGACGAAAGUCUGAUGGAGCAACGCCGCGUGAGCGAUGAAGGCCUUCGGGUCGUAAAGCUCUGUUGUUAGGGAAGAACAAGUGCGAGAGUAACUGCUCGCACCUUGACGGUACCUAACCAGAAAGCCACGGCUAACUACGUGCCAGCAGCCGCGGUAAUACGUAGGUGGCAAGCGUUGUCCGGAAUUAUUGGGCGUAAAGCGCGCGCAGGUGGUCCUUUAAGUCUGAUGUGAAAGCCCACGGCUCAACCGUGGAGGGUCAUUGGAAA